AGUGCGUGAAACCGCUCAGAGGUAAGCAGGUGGAGUUGAACUGCAAGCUUUGAGAAUUCAGCUGGUGAGGUUGGUUUGGGCUUGGUCAAAUUGGUUGGGCCCCGAAGUACGUUAAACCACGUGUCCUUUCCCUUUGGGUUGGGAUGUGCGAUACACUUACCAAGUGUUGCACGCUUUGGGUGUUCAUCGAGCCUCCUUGUCAGUGCACUUUCUCAGAGUGGUCACCACGACCGACGCCGCUGUCAGGCUGUCAUAGUUAAACCGGUCUUGUAGUGUCCUUGUGGCAUUGCCUGGUCGGGAUGGCAGGUAGCUUGUUGGCUCGCUUCGGCUUGCUUUCGAGUGUAAUCAGCUGACUGUGACGGUUCUGUGCAGUGCGUCGGAGACGGCGGCCAGUGGUGUGUGCAUGCGUGCCCGAUUUGUUGGCGUACCCUGGUUUGGUUUCUGUGUUGCCUGUGAUAGCAGGCCUAGUUAUGGCUGGGGUUCGUUCGGCGAAUGGUUGCGUGUGUGGCACUCCAAGGGCCAAUAGUCUGUGGUGUAGUGGUAGACUA
This 548-nucleotide ribosomal RNA is filed under the name Dicrocoelium dendriticum. Its description in RNAcentral is "partial 28S ribosomal RNA". Lineage: Eukaryota; Metazoa; Platyhelminthes; Trematoda; Plagiorchiida; Dicrocoeliidae. The record is from RNAcentral.